AUUGAACGCUGGCGGCAGGCUUAACACAUGCAAGUCGAACGGACUACUUCGGUAGUUAGUGGCGAACGGGUGAGUAAUGCCUAGGAAUCUGCCUAUUAGCGGGGGAUAACGUUCGGAACGGACGCUAAUACCGCAUACGCCCUACGGGGGAAAGCAGGGGAUCUUCGGACCUUGCACUAAUAGAUGAGCCUAGGUCAGAUUAGCUAGUUGGUGGGGUAAAGGCCUACCAAGGCGACGAUCUGUAGCGGGUCUGAGAGGAUGAUUCGCCACACUGGAACUGAGACACGGUCCAGACUCCUACGGGAGGCAGCAGUGGGGAAUAUUGGACAAUGGGCGCAAGCCUGAUCCAGCCAUGCCGCGUGUGUGAAGAAGGCCUUUUGGUUGUAAAGCACUUUAAGCGGGGAGGAGGGUACUCUUGUUAAUACCAAGAAGUAUCGGACGUUACCCGCAGAAUAAGCACCGGCUAACUCUGUGCCAGCAGCCGCGGUAAUACAGAGGGUGCGAACGUUAAUCGGAAUUACUGGGCGUAAAGCGCGCGUAGGCGGUUAUUUAAGUCGGAUGUGAAAUCCCCGAGCUCAACUUGGGAAUUGCAUCCGAUACUGGGUAGCUAGAGUAUGGGAGAGGAAGGUAGAAUUCCAGGUGUAGCGGUGAAAUGCGUAGAGAUCUGGAGGAAUACCGAUGGCGAAGGCAGCCUUCUGGCCUAAUACUGACGCUGAGGUGCGAAAGCAUGGGGAGCAAACAGGAUUAGAUACCCUGGUAGUCCAUGCCGUAAACGAUGUCAACUAGCCGUUGGGGCCUUUGAGGCUUUAGUGGCGCAGCUAACGCGAUAAGUUGACCGCCUGGGGAGUACGGUCGCAAGACUAAAACUCAAAUGAAUUGACGGGGGCCCGCACAAGCGGUGGAGCAUGUGGUUUAAUUCGAUGCAACGCGAAGAACCUUACCUGGUCUUGACAUAGUGAGAACGAUCCAGAGAUGGAUUGGUGCCUUCGGGAAUUCACAUACAGGUGCUGCAUGGCUGUCGUCAGCUCGUGUCGUGAGAUGUUGGGUUAAGUCCCGCAACGAGCGCAACCCUUUUCCUUAUUUGCCAGCACUUCGGGUGGGAACUCUAAGGAUACUGCCAGUGACAAACUGGAGGAAGGCGGGGACGACGUCAAGUCAUCAUGGCCCUUACGACCAGGGCUACACACGUGCUACAAUGGUCGGUACAGAGGGUUGCUAACCCGCGAGGGCAUGCUAAUCUCAAAAAGCCGAUCGUAGUCCGGAUUGGAGUCUGCAACUCGACUCCAUGAAGUCGGAAUCGCUAGUAAUCGCGGAUCAGAAUGCCGCGGUGAAUACGUUCCCGGGCCU
RNAcentral lists this ribosomal RNA (1347 nucleotides) under uncultured bacterium. RNAcentral's name for it is "bacterial SSU rRNA". It matches the Rfam family "Bacterial small subunit ribosomal RNA", at positions 28 to 1381 of the family's 1533-position model. The record is from RNAcentral.